CACAACUUUCAUACACAAUCCACUAUAUCCAGAAUAUCCCAUACAUGACUAAGUCAUGAUUGAGUAUAAAUCAAAAUAUGGAUUCAUAUAUAUAAGGUUUUAUGGUAGUCUCAGGUCAAAGGACUACAUGCACAACUCCCACUAUAAGAAAACAUCUUUUGACGGAUAAAUAGAUCCAUAAGAUAUUUUUUAAGACAGAUCAGUUCAGUGAACUCAUUCUCUAAUGAGCACCCACAUCUUCGUAUUAGUGUCUCACACAAAUGACUUAUGAGAUCGGCCACUCUCACUAUCGAGCAUAUAUAAGAUGUACCAGUCUAUCUAGAACAUUGAUCCUCUACUCAAUGCUCCUAUGACUAGGAAUAUUCUAAAUCAGGAUUUUUAGGAUUUUAGGUCUUAUAGAUAUGAUCUCAUCAUAACCCUAAAACUAUUACCUUGAUUUAUGGGGUUCAUCGUAAUCAUUACAAAUAUAAGAUACAACAUAUGAUGAAAAAUAAAUACCUUAUAUUUAUUCAUAAAGUGUCAAUUACAUGAGUCUGGAAUAUUACAACGAAAAUCCAUCAAAAUACAAAUAUCGAUUGGCUUGUAGGGCAUAUUUCUUUCAUCUUUUUGCUUUAGAUGGGGUAUCUUAUGGAUUUGCAGUUAUAACUGCCCAAUUCAAAGAAAUGUUAGCGAGAACUUCAAACACUUUUUUUGAAUGAGGGGUGGCAUAUAUCAUGGAAACCUUUGAAUUCUUGGAGGUCAAAGAGGAGCAUUUAUUUGGAACAGGAAGAGAUCCUACUUAUAUUUUUCAGAUUGUUUAGGUGGGAUGCAACCCCCCUAGAACAUCCUUUUGCUCAACCUCUGGUGAUAUAGAAUUGAACAAUAGAGCACCAGUAUGUAAAUUCAUCAUCUUCUUAUAUAAUCAAAGAGGAGUUUCUUAAAGCUACACUAUCUGGUCAGCUAACAAUUUUGAACUACCAAAUGACAUCCUAAUGUAUUGUUAUGCUAAUUGUAAGCCAGAGCCACCUUAUUAUCUGCCAACAGAAAUAAUGGUGAUAUCUUUUAUGUUAUUAACCUUUUGCUUCCCCGCAACCAUUUAUCUUCACUUUUUAAUAUUGCGCUAGAGCCAAUGGUGGCAAAUGUGAAGAUAUUGUAUCUUUGUGACUAAUGUUUGAUGCUUGUGAUUUGUGAGAAUCUGAAUAACUGCAUCUGAAUGAUAAUCAAGAAGACUUGUCCAAGGUAUUGGGUUUUGCUUUCUGAUGCAAACAAACUUCGCUAUUGACAAAAAAUAUAA
This 1273-nucleotide long non-coding RNA is filed under the name Elaeis guineensis (African oil palm). RNAcentral describes it as "long non-coding RNA (EGUI_LNC033945)". Lineage: Eukaryota; Viridiplantae; Streptophyta; Magnoliopsida; Arecales; Arecaceae. The record is from RNAcentral.